UGGAUAAAGGAUUUUAUUUGUGUUUGUAUUAUUUGUAUUUGUAUGAUCUUGCUAUUCUCAUUGCGGAUAAAACACAGUUGAAUUCACUGUAGAUCAUUUAAAGUUGUUUUUUAAAAGAAAUGAGAGCAGCAGCUGGUACUUGGAUUUAAGAGGAAAGGGAUUAGCAGACAGUAUUUACCUUCACACAGAAAAUAUUUUGAAGUAGAAGACAAGACGAGAAAAGCUAAAUCAGGCUGUCCUGCAUGGUUACAAUCUCAAAUUGAUUUUUUCGUAUAUGAUCAAAAGAAACGAAAACUCUGAACAACAACAACAAAAAGUAACUUUAUUUGCUCCCCUUCCCUCUGCUGCGUCUUUUCUUCUCUUUUUGCCCUCAGAGGACUCAGAGUUUCCACAUUUCCCUGGACUCCUUUUGUUACAGAAAAAAAGCAGGUCUCGUGGAGCAAGUUCUUUGAGCAGAAACAGAGGUGGUAUUGACUCUCCCAGAGUAAUGCAUCACUAAAGACUGAACUAUUAUUCCUUGAUAGUCAAGGAAACAUUAGAAAGCAAAUUGUUAGAGAAAAAUUGCUUUCAUUCUCACCUUCUUCUCUCACUGCUGUUAGCAUACUAAUUUAAUUUAUUCUAAACUUUUCUCAGCUGGAGCUCUUGUUCUUGCUCCUGACCUCUUGCCGUGCUGGACCCCUCACCCUCUGGGCGCAAAUGCCUGCUCCUGACACCGGCUUGGCUCAUUCCCCUGCCUCAGGUGGGGCCAACUGAUCUGCCUCAUUCUGUUGUUGCCCUGCCCUGUUCUGAAAUGAUAAGUGAUUCUCUGCCAUUGAGCUGGGCUUUCUUCACCUACUGAAU
Phyllostomus discolor (pale spear-nosed bat) is the source of this 840-nucleotide long non-coding RNA. RefSeq lists it as uncharacterized. The record is from RefSeq and is a predicted model, not a curated record. The transcript is spliced from 3 exons. NCBI's taxonomy places the organism in Eukaryota, Metazoa, Chordata, Mammalia, Chiroptera, Phyllostomidae.